RNAcentral lists this ribosomal RNA (464 nucleotides) under uncultured Bacillota bacterium. RNAcentral describes it as "bacterial SSU rRNA". It matches the Rfam family "Bacterial small subunit ribosomal RNA", at positions 338 to 795 of the family's 1533-position model. The record is from RNAcentral. Lineage: Bacteria; Bacillati; Bacillota.
CCUACGGGCGGCUGCAGUGGGGAAUUUUCGGCAAUGGGGGGAACCCUGACCGAGCAAUGCCGCGUGAAUGAAGAAGGUCUUCGGACUGUAAAGUUCUGUUAUCGGGAAAGAAGGUAUAUACCAGGAAAUGGGUAUAUAUUGACGGUACCCAAUUAGAAAGCCCCGGCUAACUACGUGCCAGCAGCCGCGGUAAUACGUAGGGGGCGAGCGUUAUCCGGAAUUAUUGGGCGUAAAGCGUGCGUAGGCGGAAUGUUAAGUCAUUUGUAAAAGAUCUCAGCCUAACUGAGUAAGGCGAAUGAAACUGGCAAUCUUGAAUACGGUAGAGGUAAGUGGAAUUCCAUGUGUAGCGGUGGAAUGCGUAGAUAUAUGGAGGAACACCAAUGGCGAAGGCAGCUUACUGGGCCGGAAUUGACGCUGAGGCACGAAAGCGUGGGGAGCAAACAGGAUUAGAUACCCCUGUAGUC